GACGAGCUCUCCAAACGUUAUUCGGUAUCACUGGGCUUAAAGAGUUCGUAGGCGGCUUUGUAGGUGGGGUGUGAAAGCCCUCGGCUCAACCGAGGAACUGCGCCCCAAACCACAGGGCUUGAGGGAGAUAGGGGUAAGCGGAACAGAUGGUGGAGCGGUGAAAUGCAUUGAUAUCAUCUGGAACACCGGUGGCGAAGGCGGCUUACUGGAUCUUUUCUGACGCUGAGGAACGAAAGCUAGGGUAGCGAACGGG
This 253-nucleotide ribosomal RNA is filed under the name uncultured bacterium. Its description in RNAcentral is "partial 16S ribosomal RNA". It matches the Rfam family "Bacterial small subunit ribosomal RNA", at positions 524 to 776 of the family's 1533-position model. The record is from RNAcentral.